UAGUUAGCAGGGAGUUUCUGCAAAAUAAUGUCGGGUGUUUUUGUUUUGUUUUUGUUUUGUUUUUUUUUUUUUAAAAACUGGAUUAUACUGAUAAAGCAUUUCUGGAACUACGGAACAGAAUGAAGUCCUGGGCAAGGCUGAAUGUGGAGCUGAGUGUUUGGGGAGUAGGUACCGCAGGAAGCCAGGAGAGCCGGUCUGACCUGCACGGCCUUCAUUCCAGUCUGUCAGUGAAUAGGGCUUGUAUGAACAGUGCCCUAAGCUCUCAGUAUAAAAACACUGCACUGUCACACACUUUGCUCAUCGGGAGGUGAAGACACUGCGAGGAAAGUUCUCCUUUCGCGGUCAGGUUGACUCUUUUCUUUCUUUUAAACAUGCUUUUUCUCUCACCAAGGAACUGAAACGCACUGGGAUGAAGUCGGACUCCAGCAGCCUACGGUAAGACGACUGCUCCGUGCUAAAAAAACAAACAAACAAAAAAAAAAACGCAUACUAUCUUACCUAAUAGUUUGUCGAAACAUAAUACACCACCUUCUGUGUCGUAUAUUCGACCUACUCAUUAGUAGACUAGUAUGCGGUUUUGGACGUAGCCCAAGCUUGAAGAUGGCCACCACGCGCACCUUCACUACCCGGAAGCGAUGGAGCUGAUGUGGUCUGUCUGGUGCAGUGGUUCUUAACAGUUCAACAGUUCUAUACAAAAAUUGUGAAAUGUUUAGGACCACUUGACCAGGCAGACGUUUUCUUUGGUACUGGAAGAAAAAAAGCAGGAAGAAGGAGCUCCUCCCUCUGUUUAUACUUCAUGAAGCUGUUGCUAUAGAUAUGCAAGUUAAUGCUGUAGCCUGUGUAGUCUAUAGACACCUAUAGAUCAUUUCAUUAAGCUCCCAACCGGUGAUGGAGGAACAUCAUAAAUAGUAGUUUAACAGUGUUUUAAAGUCUUUCCCCAAACUAAUGGGGGUAAUGAGAUUUUAAUGAGAUGUUUCAAUGUGAUAAAUGUAUUAUUAUUAUUAUUAUUGCAAUAAAAUCUUUCAUGCAGAAAACAGAAUGUGCACAGUGUUCUCUCAUGUUUGUUUCCCUCCAUAUUAACCAACUUUCUUUCUUUCUCUUUCUCGUUCUCCCCUCUGUGUUCCAGAACAACACAAACCUCCGUUGCAAUUAAGAUAUUAUAUAUAUAUAUAUAUAUAAAUAUAUAUAUAUAUAUGAAAGAAGGGCUUUUAGGUCUCCGUCUACAGCAGUGGACUUCAAUCUUGUCCUCAAAGUGUCGGUGUGUCAGCAGGUUUUCAUUCCAGCUAAGCAGGAACACAACUGAGCACACUUGUUUAAUCUAUUGAUCUCGAUCUUCAAACAACUGUUAGGUGUGGCCCCUGAAAUGAAAACCGUAAUGAAAACCUUCAGACAUACCGACACUUUGCGGGUAAGAUUGAAAACCUCUGCCCUACGUGUUGAUCACUGCUUCUUCUUCUUCUUCUUCUUCUUCUUUUCAUAAAGAAUCAGAAUAAAGUGGACGGACACUUUCCGGGUGAGUUUUGAGCUGAGUUGGCGCUCUCCGUGGUGCUGAAGAUUGUCUCCGGGAGUCAGAACACAUUUCUACUCCAUUUAUCCACCCUGAAGACGUCUUGCACUUUGCCCAGAUGAUUUAAGGGCCCAACCUUACAAGCGUCUAAGCGUGACAAAUGCACAACAAGCGAGGGCAAGUGCUGAACGAAAACUCAAGCAAAUCAAUAAGUGCAAUUAUUACGUUAAAUCCUUACAUCAACCCUCAUUAGUUCAUGACAAGUAAAAAAAAUAUAUCAGUACAGCAAACAGUGAGUGAAGAAGCCCAUGCAAACAUCACCUUGUAGUGCACAAACUUCUUCAUUAUACAAUAUACAGUUUGCGAGCUACUAGGAAACAAAUCCAGCGGAUUAUCUGGUUCUUAUGCACAAGAGACAGGAACAAGAUGGAGAAGACUAAAGAGACUCAUGAAUUGUAAAUAAGGUCCGAAAUUCAAAUAGGCUAAUAUUGAUUUGUGUCAAGCGAAAAUGAGAAAAUAGCAAGUGUCGCAUUACAUCCGUUAAUCAGGCCUCAAACCUCAGUGGAAAAUAUAUAGCUAUAGAAUAAUUUAGGAACCAGCAUUCAAAAGUGGUUUUCAUGGUUUCAUAAUACAUAAUCUAUAAUCCCAUGUUAAUAAACCCGCUAAGAACCCAUGUUACAGAGCGCAACUUCAGCUGCUUUCUUUUAAAAAUCUGUAAAUGUUAAAAAACUUUAAACCACCUCCUUAACACAAUCUCACUAAAUGUCACAAUAUCACUACACUCACAUUUGCUUUAGAGUGUCUUUAAUAAAUUAUUCAUAAACCCAAGAUUGCAAGUUGCUUUCUUUAUCUGAGUAAGGCGCUUG
Ictalurus punctatus (channel catfish) is the source of this 2373-nucleotide long non-coding RNA. NCBI's taxonomy places the organism in Eukaryota, Metazoa, Chordata, Actinopteri, Siluriformes, Ictaluridae. The record is from Ensembl.